AAUACAGUUAAUUUUUUUAAGUUAAUUAAAUUUAUCGUUACCAUAUUACUGGUUUGUAGUGUUCAAUCAAAUUUAUAUACUUAUAUAAUUUAAUUUAUUAAAAUUAAUACAAUUCAAAAUAUUUUCUAUUUAUUUUAUGUAUUCUUAUUUUUUACGAUAUGCUCAUAAUUUUACAAAUGCCUGAAGUUGGUAACUGGAGUUUUUUAUUUUAAAAAUAGCAUUUCAUUAUUAAGGGUGGAGCACAAAGAAAUCAAUCCCUUGCAGUGCAUAACAUUGUAUGCGUUAGUUUUGAAUUUCACAAAGGUUUGUCUGCCAUAUAUACUAUGACGCCCAUAUAACUCUUAAGACAAUUACAAAUUAAAUAGUACUAUUCGAUAGAAAACAACAAAUUUAUCCCUUACCAUUAUUUCUUUAUACCGCAAAAAUCUGGAACCGAGCUGCUUCGUUAACCGCGCUUAUUUCUCCCCUGACUCACUAAACCCCGCGCGUGACAAAUUAUUUCUCAAUUAAAAUAUUCCACUACAUCAAGUGCACCUAGUUUUAAAUACUCCGGUCAGAUCUUUACCGUUAAAGGUGAAAAAGUACCUAAGAUUGCUUUACGGGGACACGUGAGGUUCUCAAUGGUCAUAGUCAAUUUGACCAGAGUUCGUAGCCAGAGAAACCAGACAUCAGACAAUAAUGAAACAAAAGUUAAUGCUCUUUAUGGAAAACAAGAAUUCUCAAUUUUGCCAUUUAUUUUUCCCAUUUUUAUAUUUUAUGUUAUUAAAAAAGAAACAGUAUUUCACUACAUAAGAUUUCAUAAACUGUAUCAAAAUUUUCUGGAAAUGAAUAACAUAAUGAUGGCAAUGAAAAGUAUCUAACGAUUUUUAAUUAAAUAUGACUAUUAAGUUUUAGUAUCCUAGGUGUAUGCAUG
RNAcentral lists this long non-coding RNA (913 nucleotides) under Brassica napus (rape). RNAcentral describes it as "long non-coding RNA (BNAP_LNC010294)". Lineage: Eukaryota; Viridiplantae; Streptophyta; Magnoliopsida; Brassicales; Brassicaceae. The record is from RNAcentral.